Molecule: long non-coding RNA, 1454 nt
Filed under: Castor canadensis (American beaver)
Lineage: Eukaryota; Metazoa; Chordata; Mammalia; Rodentia; Castoridae
Description: lncRNA (ENSCCNG00000025174.1)
Source: RNAcentral
AUUUUGUUGUAGGGAGUAACCCAAAGGAAUAGCUGUUAAUCCAGUUUCUGGCACCCAAAUCAAUGGUUUAAAUCCUUUGUCAUUGAUAUUCAGGUUUCUUCAACUUAGCCUUGGUAAAGGACAAGUUGUAUACACUGCCACUUUUAUUUUUCAAGGAGAUACACCUCUUCCCCUCUACUGAUUAUGACUUUAAGGACUGAUGCUUCCCAUUUUAAUGUGGUUAGGGACUGUCCAUGCUCGUCUGAGUAUAAUUAUAGAUUGAGAUGGGCCAGUUUUCCCUUGUGGUAUGGGUGUGGUCAUUAUGCCGGGCAUCUCUUCUGUAAGAUUUUGGUCUACUGAUUUGCUGCCCUCUCUUCUUUUAUUUUUGUCAAUAUCUGGCAGACCAGAGCUACAUGUGUCAUGGCACAGGGGAAUUUUGCUAACUUCAGCGAGUCAUCACCCACUCUCUGCUGUGCUGGCCCUGGUAAGGUGCACAUCUAUCCCUCUCAGCAGGUUUGCUCCUUAGGUAAGCCAUAUGAGAAUUCUGACUUCACUGUUUUGAACUAAGAAAUGAUAUAGCUUUUUAAUCUCUUCUUCAGGGAAUGGUAGUAAAGCACACAUGUUCAGUGGUGAGGAAGUGAGUGGUUAGUAGCAGCAGCCAACCCUGGGAUCUUCAAGUGGUACUGCAAGAAUAACAUGUUAGGCUCUGACUGGACUUGUUCUCAGAAACUAACCUAACUUAGAAUUGCUUAAUAUUCUAAUGAUCUCUUUUUGGGUCAGAUGGCAAUAUACAUUACUGUUAAGAAGUUCUCUAGAAUAUUGCCAGUACCCUGAAAAACCUUCAGCAGAAAACAGUUACAACUUUUAGUCACUUUUUCAUUCAUGUAAAGGUACCAACCUUCCAAGUCAUAGAAUUGUGACCACUAAGUUUGAUCUACAGUUUAUGUUGAGGACCUCAUGUGUUCAAGAGUGGAAAAGUGAUGGGAGAAGGCUUUGGCUCCAAACAGGCUAUGGCUUGUCUUUGUCACUUACAGAAUUGUAUGUGCAAAGUACAGAGUCUGUGCAGUAACAAGGAUUAAACACCAGGGCUCCAGGUGUGAGGGGAGGGAGUUGUGUCUCAGUCAAGAGUGGUUAAUCUUAGAGCUGUUUUCAUAGAAGGUUUGUGUACUUUUGUUUAAAAGUUUAGCUCUACCUGAAAGGCUGUAAAGUGCUAAUAUUCAUUAUCCUGAGAGACCUCUUUUCCUCCCCUUUCCAGGUAUCGGUGCCAUUCUUCCCAAACCCUUAAGCAUCCUCCCAUAAUGCACACACUUAAAUGCUGUUAUUAGGUUGUAUGGAAAAAUUUAACAAGCAAUUCUUAAUGAAGGAUAAAGCCCUGACCCUUCAGUACCAUAUUUACAAUUCAGUCUUCUAAACUAUUUGCACCUUGAGAAUCCUUAAAAUAACAUUCAUCAAUAAACUCUUGUCUUAAGGAAGCA